GAUGAAGAACGUAGCGAAAUGCGAUACGUAAUGUGAAUUGCAGAAUUCAGUGAAUCAUCGAGUCUUUGAACGCACAUUGCGCCCCCUGGUAUUCCGGGGGGCAUGCCUGUCCGAGCGUCAUUGCUGCCCUCAAGCGCGGCUUGUGUGUUGGGCCUCCGUCCUCCUCCCGGGGGACGGGCCCGAAAGGCAGCGGCGGCACCGCGUCCGGUCCUCGAGCGUAUGGGGCUUCGUCACCCGCUCUUGUAGGCCCGGCCGGCGCUUGCCGACACAUCAAUCUUUUUUCCAGGUUGACCUCGGAUCAGGUAGGGAUACCCGCUGAACUUAAGCAUAUCAUAAGCGGAGGA
RNAcentral lists this unclassified non-coding RNA (344 nucleotides) under soil metagenome. RNAcentral describes it as "partial contains 5.8S ribosomal RNA, internal transcribed spacer 2, and large subunit ribosomal RNA". The stretch from base 1 to 120 matches the Rfam family "5.8S ribosomal RNA", at positions 35 to 154 of the family's 154-position model. The record is from RNAcentral.